Long non-coding RNA from Haliaeetus leucocephalus (bald eagle), 5458 nucleotides. RefSeq lists it as uncharacterized. Lineage: Eukaryota; Metazoa; Chordata; Aves; Accipitriformes; Accipitridae. The record is from RefSeq and is a predicted model, not a curated record. The transcript has 4 exons.
CAUCCAAGCUCCUGUGGUCAUUUACCUGCUAUGUGCUAGCCUUUUUAUUUUAACAGGGAAUAGUCUGUCACCAGACUGGUACGUGCUGGCAAAGUUGAUUGAAACCAAGUGCCCUGCAGUGACUGUAUGACUAGCGAGUCAUACAGUGAAGGCUUAGGCUGGAGUUGCAAUUAGAGAAGGAAAUUCAUUGAGCUAAGGCUUGGCUUUGUUGCUUUGAUUGGGAUUCUAAUUUCUUAGGUUAACCUAGUGUAAUUAGCAACAAAUUCACCUUUGAUUUAAACCUGCUGAUUCACACAUUGCAGGUUGGAUGGCAGUUAGGUGACUGACUUAGGUGGACAUGCCUUUGUUCUCAGAAACAUUAGAGGGGAAUCUCUCCUGAAUCUAGGACUUUUGUUUUGGAGACCAUACAGGUCUGGUAAAUGUUGAUAUAGUCUUCCAAAACUACGACUGUUGGUUUUAUUAGCAGUCAAUGUCUCCUCUUUUCUUUCUCACUGUGUCACGGCAGAACUGCAAGGGGCUGGAAUCCUUUUAGCAUUUUAACACUUCCUUGACAAACAUCCUGCUGUUCUAUCGCUGCCCUCCUGAAGUGUAAGAGCUCAUUUUUGAGGGGAGAAGAACAUCUCCAAACUCAAGGAACUAUUUGCACUUGUGUUGGGUGACAUCUGCUUUACUGCAAGCAUCACUGAAUGCAGAUCUACAGCCUUUUAACCCUAUUCUCUAGGGCAACAAUUUUGUGCUCUAGUUCUUCCAGGCUCUCAUUUGUCACCUUUUUUCAAGGAGUAUAAGAUGUAGCUUCUCUCUUAAGAAAAGCUUUGGUUGCUUACCCUACACGCAAAGAUAUGUGCGGAAAUCCCCACAGGGUAACAAAAACCUUCCCCAGGGAAAACAUCCUUGAACUAGUUUAACUGAAAGCUCCCAAUUUCACAGUGCCUUUGGCUGGAAAAUUUAAAUGUUCAAAGGGCUGUGGCAUGAUUAAUGAUUUUCUUGUCUCAGCCUCUGAUGCAAGAGUGCAGACUCUCCUCCUCCCCUCACUGCUUGCAUAGAUUGGGUUUAUAGGAGUGACUGAAAACAGACUAGGGUGUUGGAGGAAGAAACAGAGACCUAUGGUGGAAAACAGAGAAAGAAGGGCUUCUUGGGGCUUUUCCAUUCUUUGCCCCUGCAGCUCUGUGCAGAUCAGUCAUCUGUGUCCCUUCCAGGCAGUGGACCUGAGAAGAUGGUCUUGAUUUUUGCACCAGAUAUAGUUCUGGUUUGGAACUGGGCUCUGACUCGAGGACAUCACGCUCCUUUCGGAGAACUCUUGCUGGACACGUGGUCACUACUUCUCUCAGCUCUUCUCUCUGGGAGAAUUUUGCUCUAGGUUCAGUUCACUGCACUCACAGGUUUUUGCACCACCUGAGUCUGUUUUUUUAAGUUAGUUUCUAUGAGGUUUCAUUCCAGUUGUUUAUAAUGACUGUCUUCUCCAGACCCUGCACUGCAGCAUUUCCAAGCUCAGUAUGAAAACAGCGUAGACUCGGUGAGACUGCAUUUCUGAUGUAUCAUCGUGCUGCAAAUCCGUGAUCUUUGCAGCUAACCCAAAAGCUGGGGAAGAGGGAGCAAUAUCCUCUCUUCCUGCAGCUAAAGAUCCUCAAACAAACACCACAACCAUUUUAACUGAGUUGAACGCCUCCAGGGGAGAUAGUGAUGUUUUGUCACACACAGAAAUAGGGACAUGGCAAAGCUGAGGUACCAUUUCCAUUGCUUUAAUUGCUGAGUGGACAGCUCAGGUCGGGUGCAUAGAAUUAUCUCCUACCCGCAGCUUCACUGACCUCAGGAUAUCCAACCCUGUCUUUCCCUGCUGCCUUCCCUCAUUGUUUUAGAAUGGUGAAAGCAGGUGAGGUCUGAGGGCUGGGCCCCUGAGAGCUGUAAGGCAGCAGGCACAUAUGCAGAGAAGUGUCUAGCUUAUCCCUCUUCUGCUUUUUGGUGGGUUAGGAAAGAGUUAAAUGACAACAGAGGGAGAGGCUGUGCUAUUGUUCAGGCAUCCCUGGGUCCAGGGUGGCUGAUCUCUAUUCCCGGAUCUGCCUCUGGCUUCCUGCAUGACCUUGGACCGGUCACUUACCUUUUCUUUUCCUUAGCUCCCAGAUUAUGACAUGGAAAUCAUUCUCUUCCUGUGGUGCCUCGUUCCCUGCGGGUUUCAGGGUGGCUGAGAUUCUCUGGUGGGCGAUGAUGGGAGGAAGAGAACACGUUUCCACUGGAGAAAUAUUUACACAGAGGGUGGCAAUUUUUGGACGUGUUCUUGUUCACUCAGAUACAGCGCGGGCUGUGCAUAUGGUGAUAUUUGGUUUUUUUAGUAGGCAAACCUGUGGUGAAAGUCAAAUUCCAUUUGUCGUUGAUGCAGCUGCCCGAGAGCAAUGCCAGCUGCAGUGAUCCUUUUCUUCACUAGAUGGUGCUUUUGAUCAAAGAUUUGAAUAACGGCAGUUGCUUUCUGCACAGAAUUUCCUAAUUUUUCUUCCCCAGUCUCCAUUCCUUCCCCUCUUCUUUCUGUGCUUCAACACUACGGGGGACACUCAGUAAUGCUGGAUAUUGAGCAAGGCUAAUCUGGUGGUAAUACCGGCUCCAAGCCACCCGCACCCACCAGCCAGCUUGUCUUCUGGGCUUUGGUUUUUGAAGCGUGUAUCAGUGCUGCUGGGCUGUGGCAGAGAAUUGAAUUCUUUCCGUGUUUUCUAUUCCCAUAAGGAAAAGGCUUCAAAGAGCAGGUCCCCUCCCCCUCUCUGCUGGUGAAGGGCAUUUAGGGAAGCUGGGAAAAAAAAUCCAGCUCUGACAGAUGCAUUUAUUUAACAAACCACUGCCUUUCCCUACCUUAGCAGAAGAUUGGUUGUGGUUUUUUUUUUUUAAAGGGAAUUGCUGCUUUUAUAUCCGUCUUUGUAUUCAGGAGAUUGUUACCUAGCCAAGGUCAUUGCUGCUGUAUGCCAGUAUCAAGCAGAGAGCCAGCCUCCUCUUCCUUGAAGGAGCACUGAUCUCGCUGGAUCCUAGUGCCUCCUCCAGCAGGACUAGGUUGUAUCUGUCUGACAACACACCUACAGUGACUCUCUUAAUUAAGUCUCCCCGCACUGCUGUGAGGUAUGUAAUUACAGUGAGACCUGACUUAAGCAACCACUCGAGGGACUAACAAAAAAAAAUUCUUUACCAGAACAGGGAGGAACAGAAUUCUACUGAAUACAUUUUUGGGGAAGUUUGUUAAACAAAGGGGGUUAAUUAUUCUGGUUUCUUCUCAGUGUAUCCCAGUAUUAGGAUGAUGCCUUUAAUAUAAUGUGUGUUAACAUAAUCAGGGGUUUUUUUCUUUUUAGAAGGAUACUUGAGAUCUUUUGUCUUUUAACAGAGAUUGCUAUAAAAAAAGUGUCAAUUAGUGCAAAUGGUGGCAAUGGUCUUGCGAAAUGAACUAUUGUUUAUCAGAAGCUGAGUAGUUGUCCCUCCCUGCCCAACCCCUGUCCAGUGGUAAAAAUAUUUAGUCAAAGGGCAACAUUCUGGAUUCCUGCUCCAGGGUAUUAUAACCACUCAUUUUCAUGACUCUACAUAGCAGCUCUGCCUAGUAGGUACUAGGAAUUGUGUAUCUUGAACUAAAGUACCACAGUAGUUGCAAUACUAAUGGUGUCUCCCAGAGAGCUCUGGCAGUUCCAGGCGGACUGAUUUUCGAUGUCGCUGCCCCAGCCUGCUGUCAGAGAUCUCUAUCCAGUACUCGAGGUGGCAGGCCGGACCGUGUGUCACCAUUCUCAGCCCAGUGUAUUAAUAUAAACUGCCAACUAUUUCAGGUUGCAUUACUACUCCAUGCGCUGAACUGUGGUGGCCAUGGAGAAGAUAUGCCACCCAUUUUGCAGCCUCUGCUUCAACAGUAAUGAUCUCCAGCUGAAGGACAGGAAGAAGCUGGAAAUAGUAAUAUCAUGAAUAGUCCCACUAUGGGCUGGCAGCCCUCCCCUCGAGUCCCACCUUCAGUGGCAUUCCGAAUACAUGCUGUCUGCAAAGAGUUGAACCAGCAACACUGCAGGAGCUGUAAGUUGCAGCAGCGACGCAGGAGUGAGCCAAGGAACCAGGACUCUUUUCAACCUAUGGGACAUGAAUCCUUGGAAUUCUGUGCACUACUAUGAAGAAGUCUGCAAAAGAUCACAAAGACAAGGAAGCUUAUUGUCAGUAGAUUUAAAUGAGCUAUACAGGGGUCCACAAUUCCAAGGGAAAACUUCAGGAGUUGAUUACAAAGUUCUAAGUCAGCUUGAUCCAUUGAAAUCCACCUAUCUUUGCACUCCUUGGACUAACAAGUGUCCUUCUGGCAGGAAGGUUCUGUGCAGCUGAACUAACCCUUUGUCAUUGAGUAUUGUGGAUUCAAGAAGCUGCUCUGUCCCGUAUACUAGGACUGAGCCAUGUGGAAACCUCUGAUCGGGCACCUAUCAGGUGCUCUUACCAAUGGAUUGGGCUGAAAACAAAAACUUUUAGAGAAGCUGGUGUAGCUGGCAUUAUACAACCAAUUCAGUUUUGUAGCAAGGUCAAUACUUUGUCCCUGAGAUAAAUGAGCAGGUACACAGUGUUCUCCCUACAGACUGUGAGGUGUCUGAAGUAUUUCAGAUGAACUUUAUUAGGAACUAAAGGCAAUCAGCUUCAGGCAGAAUCGUGCAACAGAUUCUACCUGUAUCUCCAGAGGUUUAAGCCCAGCAGUCAGACAUACAACCUGAUGUGCUUUAAAGGCUUUGGAUUAAGUAAUGGUAGUACUACUGGGAUGAAAGUUCAUAAUGCUUAGAUGAAAAAAGGCUUGCGCUAGGAAAUAAAAAUCACUGAAGAUUUAAAAAUAGAGUAAUUUUAAAAUUUUUAAAGUGUUCUGUUUAGGAUUUCAAAAAUUUUUCUGUGUGGGUUUUGGUAAGCAGAGUUGUUUUGCAAGUUCUUUCCUGUUAGAUUGUGGGAGAAUUUGUCUUUUUUAGGGUGCCUGAAAAGCAGGAGAGGUACUGAGGAAUCUUCAUGUGGCUCCUGAAUAGCCCCCUUCAAAUCCACUUUUGGAGCCAGGGUCUUCAGCCUCUUGUAAGAUCAAACUUAAGACAGCUUCACUUGUAAUCCAAGUUUAUGUGAGGAAUCCUAGCUAAAUCCUUGAUGUUGCUUAUACAUCUGAUCGAAGGGAAAGGUUCGUGUUUACCUGAGAACUCUAUUGGACAUUUUAACAUGUAUUAUGUGGAAAAGCAUGCCGAAGUGAUAAAGUAACAAUUGAUUCAUGGCUAUCUAGCAGAGUCUAGAAAUGCCACCUUGGGAUGACAUGGAUCGAAGAUACAGUUACUUUGCUUUUCCAUGUGAAGAAUGCUGCUUCUUCCCAGCUGAGCUAUUGUGUAACGUAGAUGACUCUCUGGAGGAAGAGUUUGCUGCACAUUUGCACUAUGUUUUAGCUACUAUCAACAUUUAUAUUCCAUUGGCAUUUGAGGGUAAGCACUAAUUAGCAUAAUCAUCAAUG